Long non-coding RNA from Erinaceus europaeus (western European hedgehog), 861 nucleotides. RefSeq lists it as uncharacterized. The transcript is spliced from 4 exons. Lineage: Eukaryota; Metazoa; Chordata; Mammalia; Eulipotyphla; Erinaceidae. The record is from RefSeq and is a predicted model, not a curated record.
AGUUGCAGAGGGGUUCAGUUCUUUGUUCCUGCCUGGCACAAAGAUGCUAUUCCUGUGAUUAAGACUAUCCCAGUCCUGAAAGGUUACACAUGACUGUCAGGCCUCAGUCUCAACGUGCAGCAGUUCCAGGUAAUUAUGUGCGUUUGAUUCCACUGUUUCUGUAUUGACUUUUAUGUCAAGUAGAGAUUAAGAGACAAGAAGAGAUCCUGCAGCCAUGACUCACUGCUAGCAGAGCUUCCACUGGAAUCAUCCAUGAUGGUCUUAUGGAGUGCUGGGGCUUGAACCUGAGACCAUGUCCUGUAAGGUGUGCACUCUACCUCGGUUAUUGCUGGGGCUUGGUGGCUGCACUACAAAUCCACUGCUCCUGGAGGCCAUCUUCUCCGUUUUGCUGGUCUUUGCACUUCGUGCCAUGUGCACUUAACCCGCUGUGCUACUGGCCUGGCUCCCAGUCUCAGGACAGUUGAACUCUGUCUUUGAAGAUGCAUAUAAAACUGGAAUGAAAACUUGAGUUGUGCCAAUAUUUUCCUCUAAGUAUUUGAUGGUUUCUGAUCUAACAUCCAGGUCCUUGAUCCAUUUGGAAUUUACUUUUAUGUGUGGUAAAAUGUAUUGGUUCAGGAGUCGGGCUGUAGCACAGCGGGUUAAGCGCAGGUGGCGCAAAGCACAAGGACCGGUAUAAGGAUCCCCGUUCCAACCCCGGCUCCCCACCUGCAGGGGAGUCGCUUCACAGGCGGUGAAGCAGGUCUGCAGGUGUCUAUCUUUCUCUCCUCCUCUCUGUCUUCCCCUCCUCUCUCCAUUUCUCUCUGUCCUAUCCAACAACAACAACAACAAUAAUAACUACAACAAUAAAACAGCAAGGGCAAC